RNAcentral lists this non-coding RNA (27 nucleotides) under Mus musculus (house mouse). The record is from RNAcentral. Lineage: Eukaryota; Metazoa; Chordata; Mammalia; Rodentia; Muridae.
UGAGCGUCAAGCCUGGGUCUGGGUGCU